AAAAGCAAGACAAUAUCGAGGUUGAUGCGGCUGAUGCAAUGGUGGCGAGGUGGGUUGUUUUCAGAAUAGAAACACACAGCAUGCUCUGUUUACCUCCUAGUCCUACCAGCGAGAUCCAGCCCCCCCUCCUUGAUCCUAGCUAAUCCUCUGAGCUAAUCUCCCCAAUCAUGAGUGAGAGCCAAGAGGGAAGACAGGAAUAGUCAAGGUUGUUACACCACAAACUCUGCUUUUUACCAUUCAGACCUUUUUUUGUUGUUGUUGUUGUUGAUGGGAGGAGAAGUGUCAGUGUUCUAAACCACAAGUAGUCCCAAAGGCAGGAGAUCCUUGGGGUUGGGGUAAGGACCAUGUGCACCACUAUGGCGGUCCUCACCACCAUCGCUCUCAUCCUGCGACACAGAUUCUGCAACAAAAUCAAGCCGCAGAAAGAGGCUGAUGAGAAAGACGUGCCAUACAUGAAGAGCAAUGGAACAGCAGAAACCCAAAAAUGACAACUGUGAACGUCUCAGGACAUGACCGAAGACCAGAGUUGGCCAUCAUCUCAAGUUGGGUUUGCAUCAACCUCUUCUAUCAAGAUUCAUUUCUCCAGGUGUACAGAAUACAUUUCCUGUUACCUUUUUAUUUUCUCUCAUUAAUCAGAUUCAGAUUUAUCUCCACUUACACUUAGACUCCCACCAGGGAAAAAAAACAACAAAAUACUAGAAAAACAAUACAGCUUGUUUUGAUCAUGGCUUCCUCUAUCUGUCCUGCAGAUACUCUCAUUUCUGAGCCAGGAAACAGCAUCUGAGUGAAUUCCAAGAUGAAGCCUGACGAAUGUUGUGUAUUCAUCAUGAAAACUGUAUUUAUACUAUUGUUUUAGAACAGAUGUGCUCAGGAUUUCAAGUCAUAAAACAUUUUCUGUGCCUCCACAUGAAAAAUAGCCACAGUCAUUUAUUUUCUUUUUUGUUUUUUCUUGCUUUUUAAAAGUUGUAAUGAUUUGUGUCGAAUGUGUGCAUGGUGUGUGCAUGUAUCUCGAAGAGUAGCCUCUCCUAAGAGCUCAUAAGUGACCUCAUUUUUACUGAAAUAUGGGCUGAAGAUAUGCAUUUUGUGGACUAUACCAUAUUUGCUUGCAUAAAGUUACAGUCGUCAUCCUGUGCUGUUACUGAUGUCUUUUGUAAAUCUUCCAAAUUUCCAAAUGACAUUAAAGUAAACCACGCCACACAAUGGAGUUAAGGUGUCAGAUAAAACAACAGCAAUAGACACCAAACUUUGAGCAGUGUGCUCGCUGUGCUUAUUAUUGUAGUGAUUAAGAGUGCAGCAUC
Molecule: long non-coding RNA, 1298 nt
Organism: Larimichthys crocea (large yellow croaker)
Lineage: Eukaryota; Metazoa; Chordata; Actinopteri; Sciaenidae
Exons: 4
Source: RefSeq, a predicted model, not a curated record